CACCAUCUGGAAGAUCUAAACCCAUGAUACGGCCAUGAGGUUCUAACAAUCCUGUGUAGACCGCAAAAUUAGCAGGACUUCCAGAAUAAGUAUCUAAUAUAUGAAUAAUACCAAAUUGGGUAAAGAUCUUAUUGAUAAGAUAGAAUGAAAUCUUAAGAUAAAGAAGACGAUGGAUAUG
Long non-coding RNA from Polistes dominula (European paper wasp), 178 nucleotides. RefSeq lists it as uncharacterized. The record is from RefSeq and is a predicted model, not a curated record. Lineage: Eukaryota; Metazoa; Arthropoda; Insecta; Hymenoptera; Vespidae.